RNAcentral lists this microRNA (21 nucleotides) under Caenorhabditis briggsae. RNAcentral describes it as "cbr-miR-74b-3p". Its record names the gene cbr-miR-74b-3p. Lineage: Eukaryota; Metazoa; Nematoda; Chromadorea; Rhabditida; Rhabditidae. The record is from miRBase by way of RNAcentral.
UGGCAAGACUAGGCAGUCCAG